This 380-nucleotide long non-coding RNA is filed under the name Selaginella moellendorffii. Its description in RNAcentral is "long non-coding RNA (SMOE_LNC002332)". The record is from RNAcentral. Lineage: Eukaryota; Viridiplantae; Streptophyta; Lycopodiopsida; Selaginellales; Selaginellaceae.
GAACACGUGGCGAGCUGUCGAGUUGUCCAGAUGUGAAAGGUUAGGGCUAGAGAGGCGCUCGGGAAUUGCAAGGUAUUCGCUCCUGUCCUGCCUCGACAUGAAAACUAGAAACUCCCCACUCCAGUCACUCAAAAUUCUCCAUUCGUCUUCGUCAAUUUGUGGAUGAAGGAGUUGGGAUCCAAAAGAGAAAACCGCAAUGUUUUGGGAAAUCUUCGCGGGCGUGAAGCCGACGGUGGCGCUGCGAGCUGCCGGAGCGAUCCUGCUCGUGGCAGCUGCCAAGGUCUCCAACGCGAUCAAGGAGAAUGGAAGCAAACGCUACGAAUUGAUCAGCACAAGUGAUUCCAUGUAGCGAUCAGGACAAACCAAUGUAAAAAGUACAU